RNAcentral lists this non-coding RNA (46 nucleotides) under Trichobilharzia regenti. The record is from RNAcentral. Lineage: Eukaryota; Metazoa; Platyhelminthes; Trematoda; Strigeidida; Schistosomatidae.
GUGCUGAUGAAGAGUCCCAAACUAGGACGAAACAGUUGUUCAGUAC